GACGAACGCUGGCGGCGUGCUUAACACAUGCAAGUCGAACGGAAAGGCCCUGCUUUUGUGGGGUGCUCGAGUGGCGAACGGGUGAGUAACACGUGAGUAACCUGCCCUUGACUUUGGGAUAACUUCAGGAAACUGGGGCUAAUACCGGAUAGGAGCUCCUGCUGCAUGGUGGGGGUUGGAGAGUUUCGGCCGUUGGGGAUGGACUCGCGGCUUAUCAGCUUGUUGGUGGGGUAGUUGCCUACCAAGGCUUUGACGGGUAGCCGGCCUGAGAGGGUGAACAGCCACAUUGCGACUGCGAUACGGCCCAGACUCCUACGGGAGGCAGCAGUGGGGAGUAUUGCACAAUGGGCGGAAGCCUGAUGCAGCAACGCCGCGUGCGGGAUGCCGGCCUUCGGGUUGUAAACCGCUUUCGCCUGUGACGAAGCGUGAGUGACGGUAAUGGGUAAAGAAGCACCGGCUAACUACGUG
This 468-nucleotide ribosomal RNA is filed under the name uncultured bacterium. Its description in RNAcentral is "partial 16S ribosomal RNA". It matches the Rfam family "Bacterial small subunit ribosomal RNA", at positions 28 to 507 of the family's 1533-position model. The record is from RNAcentral.